AUACCAUGGUGUGGACAUAUAACCAACAUUCCCUUAAAACGCUCCAAUGUCUUAUGCAGUGUCUCCAUUGGUUUCUGUUUAAAGCUCAAAAUUUCGUCAAUUUGUUG
Molecule: non-coding RNA, 107 nt
Organism: Nicotiana sylvestris (wood tobacco)
Lineage: Eukaryota; Viridiplantae; Streptophyta; Magnoliopsida; Solanales; Solanaceae
Source: Rfam